AAAAAGGUAAAAUCGUGUCUGGUAAUACUGUACAAAAUUGCAUAAAACACUGCAAUGUGUUUGUUUUGGAAACUAUUUUCCCUAGUUUUCUAAAAAACGAAAAUGAAAAUGAGAACACGUCAAUUUGACAUUUUCCCAUUAUACGUGUAAACUAGGGAACCAUUUUCAAUUUCUCAUUUUCUACAUUUUUGAAGAUAGGCUAACAGACAAAUUUUCAUUUUACAAAACAAAAAAUAUGCAUUGAAAACGUUACCAAACGCCACCUAAAUAAUUUCAGUAAUCUCAAGCUAGAACAAUACAUUACAUACAUUUUCAUUGCCACGUGUAACAUAAAGCAAAAUAAAAAAUUAAUGGUAUGAACAUGAAUAACAUCUCUCAUUACCUUACAAGUGAAGACUCACUACGUGAGAGGCCAAAGACACAAAAAUGGUUAAUGCUAACUGCUAAUAAAAGGACUUUCUUGUAAUUAGCUAAACUAAUAACUCAGAAAAAGAAAUAAAUAGUAGAGCCAAAUAAUGCCCAACUUGUAUUAGGCCUAAAGGAAGCAGCCCACAAACAGUGGCACCCAAACCCAGCUAACCUACCGAACCCUGUGAUGACCUAACUAGGCGGGUGUUGAAGGCACUGACAAGCUAGCAGGUGCAUGCAUGUCCCACAUCGUCUAGGGGAGACAAGUUGUUGUGCUUAUACAGUAUGUGCAGAGUCAGCUCCAUACAUUGAGACGUAUUUCGGGGUAAAACCUCAAGAAUAAAACCGUAAGGGUUAGUAGGCCCAAAGCGAAUAAUAUCUUAGCUGUGUGGACUAGACUGUUACAGAUGGUAUCAAAGCCUGUUUCUAGCCAGAAGUGUGUCAAUGAUGACAUCGAUAUCGGUUCCCUAAAGGGGUUAAUGUGGUGACCUGAUUGGGAUGGUGUUGAAGGCACUGAGUUCACUCGCCCGGGGGAGACGAUCGAGUUGUUGUGCUUAUAUAUGUAAAGUCAACUCCUUACAUUGAGAUGCACUUUGAGAUGAAACUUCAAGAACAAAACAAGGAGGGUACGCCUCUCCACACCCACCCAAACAAUUCCCUAGCCAAAAGUGUGUUGAUGACAACAACGAUAUCGGUUCCCUAAAGGGGUUACUGUGGUGACCUGACUAGGCUGGAGUUGAAGGCGCUGAGUGCACUCGCCCGGGGGAGACGAGUUGUUGUGCUUAUAUAUGCGGAGUCAGCUCCUUACAUUGAGAUGCACUUUAGGAUGAAACCUUAAACAACAACCCUCCUUGUUUAGAUGCACUUUAGGAUCGAAACCCCCCCCCCCACACAAAAAAAUUCCCUCAUGCCUUCCUUUAAAUCUUUGGCUCUGAAUCUCUCAUUCGACAACAGUGCGGAUAAGCUUCACACGAGAUUAUCCGCUGCCAAACGAGUACAAUUCCAACAGAGGGGAACGCCGCCGCCUCCUUUCUUAUAGGGUUUUCAAAAUUAGUUUUUUGUUUUCUUCUAAAAUCAUCCAUAUCAAGCUAUCUAUAUCUAGGGCAAAUUAAAGAACGUGGUAUGUGGCACCACCCAUUAUUCAGUUCUCACUUAUUGUAAAGCAAACCUCACAACUAUAAAAACAUAACAUAGUAAUUAGGCUUAAUUUUUGAUUAGGUUUCAAAGAACUAAUAAUUUUCAAUUAGAUGUAUGUUUCUUCAAUUAAUAAAAUUAUCUUGUACUGUAGAGAUUUCCUAUCAUAUUUUUUAUUUUUAUUUUUUUCUUCCUUUGGUAAGAAAUUCAUGCCCCACACCAAGGUUGUUGAUGCAGUGCAACUUAUUUAACGAUUUUAACCCACAAUAGAACUUUAAUAAUUUGAUACUCGAUAAAUUAAUAACCUUGAUUAAAUAACACUCUUUGUCGGUUUCAAAAUUUUUAUCAAAAAGAAAAUUUCUAACAUGAAUUAGCUUUUCUCUUUCUAUUUUACUUGUGCUAAACAACGAUCAAGGGAGAAAACCCUAAGCCUCCAAAACCAUUUUUUUUUUUCAACUUCUGCCAAAUUACUUGUCUGGCGGUGAUCAGAUCUGUGAUGCCCUCUGGCCUUGCUGGUCUCAGAAGUGCGCUGGACGGGUAUCCUAUUUGAUUUCAAUCUCGGAGCAAGACCGACUUGAGCAAGGUAGAGGGGUUUCAAGCUUUCAUGGUUUUUUUUUCCCGGCUAAAGGAAGCGUCGACACAAGCAUGGGUAACUCAGCUUGAUCUGGUAGAUUAUGAUGAGAUCAAUGGUAACUCAGCCUAUAUCAAUGGUGAGAUCCUUUUUUUGGUGCAGGGUUUGUAGGGGGUUUUUUGUUUGGAUCCCGCUGACUUCACGUUGUCGUUGAAUCAGAGAUCUAUAUGUUGACGUGUGCUGCUGAGGGAGAUGGAGAAGUCCCAUGGUGAUGGGGUUUGAAGGUGGUGGGUUGCGAUGUGGCAGGGUCGGUGGCAGAAUUCCUGCUGUGGUUGGAAUCCGACGGCGGCGGUGGCGGCACGACGACUUUUGUGGGUGGUGUGAUGGUUGUUGGUGAUGACUGCAAACUUAGGCUGAGAUCAUGCACCAAACCCGUUUGGCCUUGUUUCAUUGGUUUGCUCUGGACCUAAUAUGUCUUGGGCCUAGGGUUUUUUUUCACUCUGGGUUCAAGAUGGUUAUCUUUUUUAGUUUUUUCUAAGCCUAUUUUUUUGGGCCGUUAGAGUUUUAAAUUAGUUUUUACUAAUUUAUUUCCAAUAAGUCUCUAUGUAGGUUUCUAGGAAUCUAGGUAGGUUUUGAUGCCUGCAUAUUAUGAUGUUUCUUUUACAUCUAGAUAGUGAACACUUCUUGUCGUACCGCAAUUGAACGCCUUGGCGACAAAAGUUUUCAUGCAAAAUUAUCUCUAUGUAGGGUUAGAUUAUAGCUUGCUAGGCUCAUCAUCGAUGAGCAACAGUGUACAAUGUAAUGAUAUGUGAAUCACCUCAAUUUGUUUCUGGCUGCGAUUAUUAAUACAAUGAGUUAUAUGCCCGCGUUUGCUUCAAAAAGAAAUAAGGAUUUAGUGCAAAUUGACCUCAAUAAUUUAAUAAGUGCUGCGGGAGAAAUAAACUGAGAGAGAGAUUUUGGGGAGAAUAUCGUUGUUAUUUCAUUCAUAGAAUAAGCCUCUAUAUAUAAAAGAUACAAUACAUUAGGAAAGUACAUAUAUUCCUAUUACAAUAUGAUAUCGAAUCCUAUAUUGAUUCUACUUUGACUAAGGCACACACAAUAAAUCAUAUUUCCUUAAACACUCCCCCUUGUGCCGUGUUAAAGUAAUAUGAUAUAUUCAGAUGCAUUCCAUGUUGCCUCAUUAAAAACCUUGCCAAGUAACAAUAAAACCUCAUGGGCAAAAUAACCUUGGUCGAAGGAACAAAAAGAGUACAACGCAUCAUUCACAUUUGAAAUUGANNNNNNNNNNNNNNNNNNNNUUUUGCUUGGGGAGCCAUGGCCUGUGACACCAUUAUGCCACAUUAUGGCGUCACUAUGCCACCAUCCAUGGUGACGGCGUCGACACCAAUUUCAUUAGGUGGCGCCAUGUCCUCUUGAUAGGACAUUAAUCCUUACAGACAUGUUUGCAGCAUGUAUAUUAUGAUCUCGUCACUUUAACAAUAUUAGAUAACACAUCAGGCAUCGAAUCUGUUACGUUAUGAAGAUCAAUUAUUCUACGCACUUUAAUAUUGUGCGGUUUUGAGGAUCAUGAUGAGACAAAGUGGGGAUAAAUUACGACAAUUUCCUGUCGUUAUCUUUGAACAUUCUUGUUCUUAUCUCCCCCUAACGAUGGGAAGAUUGUCUCAUCAAAGUGACAUUCCGCAAAUAUGGCGGUAAAGAGAUUGUCUGUCAAGGUUUCAACAAAGCGGACUAUAGUUAGAGACUUAUAUCUAACAUAAAUACUUAUUCAUGUCUAAGAACCCAUCAUAGUGUGCUGUGGCUGCACAAUUUUGGCACAUAAAUGCGUAAGUCACUAGCUUUAACGCAUAGAAAGGUUAAGCGGUGAUGGUUCGUAGAUGAAUUAGUAUAGCUGCAUGCAAUCGCAUAACCCAGUGGAAAAAUUGGUGCGCAUUACCAAAAUUUAGGCUACUAUCGUAGUCAUUUACUUAUAACUUUCCGCGAGACCAUUUGGGCAUGUACAUGGGAACAUGAUAUCAAACAUCAUUCCAUCAAAAUGUACAAUAGUCAUCCAAAAUUGUCGAUGUGAACUCUCUUGCAUUAUCAAGUCGAUUGACUGAAUGGGAUGAUAUGGGUAGUGAGCCCAAUAUAUAAUUAGUGCUAGAAGUUAUAUUAUAAGUAGCAUAUAUAACUAGUAGACGAUAGUGCGACACAUGACCAGAGUGUAUAUAUGCACGUCAAC
This 4331-nucleotide long non-coding RNA is filed under the name Fragaria vesca (wild strawberry). RNAcentral describes it as "long non-coding RNA (FVES_LNC000627)". Lineage: Eukaryota; Viridiplantae; Streptophyta; Magnoliopsida; Rosales; Rosaceae. The record is from RNAcentral.